Molecule: transfer RNA, 71 nt
Filed under: Agrobacterium sp. MS2
Lineage: Bacteria; Pseudomonadati; Pseudomonadota; Alphaproteobacteria; Hyphomicrobiales; Rhizobiaceae
Description: tRNA-Lys
Rfam family: tRNA
About the family: Transfer RNA (tRNA) molecules are approximately 80 nucleotides in length. Their secondary structure includes four short double-helical elements and three loops (D, anti-codon, and T loops). Further hydrogen bonds mediate the characteristic L-shaped molecular structure. tRNAs have two regions of fundamental functional importance: the anti-codon, which is responsible for specific mRNA codon recognition, and the 3' end, to which the tRNAs corresponding amino acid is attached (by aminoacyl-tRNA synthetases). tRNAs cope with the degeneracy of the genetic code in two manners: having more than one tRNA (with a specific anti-codon) for a particular amino acid; and 'wobble' base-pairing, i.e. permitting non-standard base-pairing at the 3rd anti-codon position.
Source: RNAcentral
UUGUUUUUAUAUUAAUAAAUAGCUGACUCUUAAUCAGCGGGUCGUAGGUUCGAGCCCUACAUCACCCACCA